UACGAAGGGAGCUAGCGUUGUUCGGAAUUACUGGGCGUAAAGGGCGCGUAGGCGGGUUUCCAAGUCGGGGGUGAAAUUCCAGGGCUCAACCCUGGGACGGCCUUCGAUACUGGGAGCCUGGAGAUCGGGAGAGGUGAGUGGAAUUCCGAGUGUAGAGGUGAAAUUCGUAGAUAUUCGCAGGAACACAGUGGCGAAGGCGGCUUACUGGUCCAUAACUGACGCUGAGGUGCGAAAGCGUGGGGAGCA
This 246-nucleotide ribosomal RNA is filed under the name uncultured bacterium. RNAcentral describes it as "partial 16S ribosomal RNA". It matches the Rfam family "Bacterial small subunit ribosomal RNA", at positions 524 to 770 of the family's 1533-position model. The record is from RNAcentral.